This 791-nucleotide long non-coding RNA is filed under the name Physcomitrium patens. RNAcentral describes it as "long non-coding RNA (PPAT_LNC005031)". Lineage: Eukaryota; Viridiplantae; Streptophyta; Bryopsida; Funariales; Funariaceae. The record is from RNAcentral.
AAAAAGAAAAUAUAAAGGAUAAUAUCAUUUAAAAAGAGGAUAAUUAUUGUUCUCGUUGUAUUCAAGCUUCAGUAUACCAAAGUAAUUGAACUAGUAGAGGUGGGUUCGAACACAGGAAAAGACUGGUUAUAUGAAUUGGGUCUGUUAGUGUCACAAUUAACUAUACUCUAGCUAUCUAAAAUCAAUUAUCAAACUAAAAAAUACCAAAGCUUACUACUUUUGUCUUAAUUCAACACAUAAUCUAUUCUAUGACUAUGAAUUCAACAAUACUUCCAUAUUCUUAUCAGUUCAUUUUCCGCUCACUACCUUUGCCAUUUAUAUAUUCAAUUACUGAUCUCCACUUUACUUAUUAUGUACAAUUUCUCAAUUCAAUAUACAGAAUUCAAUAUCUUCACUUAAUACAAUAGAAUUUGAUAAUCUCAAUUUUAUAGAUCUUCUCCAAAAUGAUCAGUCCAAAAUCUUAUUCCACAAUAUUCUAAUCACAGUUUCAACAAUACUUCUCUUAAUUCCAAUUCUUCAUAAGAAAAAUAAAAAGAGGUAGCACCAAGCUUACCUUGGCUUGCGACUUUCAUAGUCGGACUCUUGGCUUAUGACUCUCACAAUAUGGCUUCCAGCUUACAACUCUCACAGUCUAGUCCUUGGCUUAUGACUCUCAUAGUUUGGCUCCGAUCUCUCUUUCCUCAACCUCUUUAUCCUACCAAAAAUAUGAUCCAUCGGCCAACGGAUUUCAAAGGUUAUGAUCCUUUGAAUUCUUAACGAUUUAUUCCCCUAACAACCUACUGUUACCAACU